UUGAACGCUGGCGGCAGGCCUAACACCUGCAAGUCGAACGGUAACAGGAAGCAGCUUGCUGCUUUGCUGACGAGUGGCGGACGGGUGAGUAAUGUCUGGGAAACUGCCCGAUGGAGGGGGAUAACUACUGGAAACGGUAGCUAAUACCGCAUAACGUCGCAAGACCAAAGAGGGGGACCUUAGGGCCUCUUGCCAUCGGAUGUGCCCAGAUGGGAUUAGCUAGUAGGUGGGGUAACGGCUCACCUAGGCGACGAUCCCUAGCUGGUCUGAGAGGAUGAGCAGCCACACUGGAACUGAGACACGGUCCAGACUCCUACGGGAGGCAGCAGUGGGGAAUAUUGCACAAUGGGCGCAAGCCUGAUGCAGCCAUGCCGCGUGUAUGAAGAAGGCCUUCGGGUUGUAAAGUACUUUCAGCGGGGAGGAAGGGAGUAAAGUUAAUACCUUUGCUCAUUGACGUUACCCGCAGAAGAAGCACCGGCUAACUCCGUG
Molecule: ribosomal RNA, 489 nt
Filed under: uncultured bacterium
Lineage: Bacteria
Description: partial 16S ribosomal RNA
Rfam family: Bacterial small subunit ribosomal RNA
Source: RNAcentral